UGGGGGAUAUUGCACAAUGGGCGCAAGCCUGAUGCAGCCAUGCCGCGUGCGUGAAGAAGGCCUUCGGGUUGUAAAGCACUUUCAGCGGGGAGGAAGGCGGUGAGGUUAAUAACCUCAUCGAUUGACGUUACCCGCAGAAGAAGCACCGGCUAACUCCGUGCCAGCAGCCGCGGUAAUACGGAGGGUGCAAGCGUUAAUCGGAAUUACUGGGCGUAAAGCGCACGCAGGCGGUCUGUCAAGUCGGAUGUGAAAUCCCCGGGCUCAACCUGGGAACUGCAUUCGAAACUGGCAGGCUAGAGUCUUGUAGAGGGGGGUAGAAUUCCAGGUGUAGCGGUGAAAUGCGUAGAGAUCUGGAGGAAUACCGGUGGCGAAGGCGGCCCCCUGGACAAAGACUGACGCUCAGGUGCGAAAGCGUGGGGAGCAAACAGG
This 429-nucleotide ribosomal RNA is filed under the name Chloroflexota bacterium. RNAcentral describes it as "Chloroflexi bacterium partial 16S ribosomal RNA". It matches the Rfam family "Bacterial small subunit ribosomal RNA", at positions 355 to 776 of the family's 1533-position model. Lineage: Bacteria; Bacillati; Chloroflexota. The record is from RNAcentral.